CCUACGGGUGGCAGCAGUGGGGAAUAUUGGACAAAGGGCAACCCUGAUCCAGCCAUGCCGCGUGUGUGAAGAAGGCCCUCGGGUUGUAAAGCACUUUCAGUGAGGAAGAACGCCUGGUGGUUAAUACCCAUCAGGAAAGACAUCACUCACAGAAGAAGCACCGGCUAACUCCGUGCCAGCAGCCGCGGUAAUACGGAGGGUGCGAGCGUUAAUCGGAAUUACUGGGCGUAAAGCGCGCGUAGGUGGCUUGAUAAGCCGGUUGUGAAAGCCCCGGGCUCAACCUGGGAACGGCAUCCGGAACUGUCAAGCUAGAGUGCAGGAGAGGAAGGUAGAAUUCCCGGUGUAGCGGUGAAAUGCGUAGAGAUCGGGAGGAAUACCAGUGGCGAAGGCGGCCUUCUGGACUGACACUGACACUGAGGUGCGAAAGCGUGGGUAGCAAACAGGAUUAGAUACCCUUGUAGUC
Molecule: ribosomal RNA, 463 nt
Filed under: Vreelandella stevensii
Lineage: Bacteria; Pseudomonadati; Pseudomonadota; Gammaproteobacteria; Oceanospirillales; Halomonadaceae
Description: partial 16S ribosomal RNA
Rfam family: Bacterial small subunit ribosomal RNA
Source: RNAcentral